AACCAACGCUGGCGGCGUGCCUCAGACAUGCAAGUCGAACGCGAAAGUCCCCUUCGGGGGACAAGUAGAGUGGCGCACGGGUGAGUAACACGUAGGUAAUCUGCCUUUGGGUGGGGAAUAACAGCCGGAAACGGCUGCUAAUACCGCAUAAUGCAGCGGCUCGACAUCGAGACAGUUGUUAAAGCGGGGGAUCCUUCGGGACCUCGCGCCUAAAGAGGAGCCUGCGGCGGAUUAGCUAGUUGGUAGGGUAACGGCCUACCAAGGCGACGAUCUGUAGCCGGCCUGAGAGGGCGGUCGGCCACACUGACACUGACAUACGGGUCAGACUCCUACGGGAGGCAGCAGUCGGGAAUUUUGGGCAAUGGGCGAAAGCCUGACCCAGCAACGCCGCGUGAAGGAUGAAAUCCCUCGGGAUGUAAACUUCGCAAGAAUGGGAAGAAUAAGUAGAAGCCAACACCUUCUAUGAUGACGGUACCAUUUGUAAGCUCCGGCUAACUCCGUGCCAGCAGCCG
This 512-nucleotide ribosomal RNA is filed under the name uncultured bacterium. Its description in RNAcentral is "bacterial SSU rRNA". It matches the Rfam family "Bacterial small subunit ribosomal RNA", at positions 32 to 517 of the family's 1533-position model. The record is from RNAcentral.